Brachypodium distachyon (stiff brome) is the source of this 877-nucleotide long non-coding RNA. RefSeq lists it as uncharacterized. The transcript has 2 exons. The record is from RefSeq and is a predicted model, not a curated record. Lineage: Eukaryota; Viridiplantae; Streptophyta; Magnoliopsida; Poales; Poaceae.
CGACUGCAAAAAUGCCAAAUAGCCACUGUCAAACAUAUAUAGCAUGUCAUUGUCACCUAAUUAAAUAACAUAAGGGUUAACUUAAUUGGCAUGUUGUUUCUAAUAUUUCAAAUAAUAGAAAAAUACAACAACUAUAUAAAUCUAGCUAUAUCUGUAGAAACAGCACGUGAAAAGAAUGUGAUUAUGGAAUUAGCUAAUCUCGAUAUAAUAAUGAUUUAAGCAUGACAUAGGUCCUGUCCUUACGAGGGGGCCUGAAUCUGAGUAACUCGGCGUCGGGCCCUGACUAUAUACCCUAUGCGUAACUCUCGUAAAUACCUACCUUCUGGAUAAUUCUUUGAAAGGUUCGAUGCAUGCAAUUACUCAUAGCAUACGACUACAACAGGAUCUUUAAUUGGAUCAUAAUUGUCAUCAUGACAGAGACGAACAAGGUUAUAUACCUUGAUUCCAAGCCUACCAGUUUGUAGAAAAUCCACAACUUCAUUGACAAGUAAUAACUCCACAAAAUUCAUCUUCUUGCAUCAGUCACUUGUGGUGGGAAAUGCAAGCAAGAAAGAAAGAAGAAAAAAGAUUUUGCAGCAGCACUUUGACUCUAAGGUAUUCCAAUUUUCUUAUCCUUUUCUCUUAUCAAACUUACAACAAAUCCAUUUGCUGUUAUUUAUACUUUAGCCAGCAACCAGAAAAUUCCAUGAUUUGUGGGUAUUAUGUUGCCCACAACAUGAUCAAACUCGUCCCGUCUUGAAAGGGCCGAGCCCUGACUGGUUGAGUAAGAUGUAACUGUGCUGAAAUUUGUAGAUAUAUGUCCUACUUAUGAACUCAAACUUCCACACUUGUUCAAGCAUGUGAAUGAAUGUUUUGAUGAAUGGAGGUUAUUUGUAUA